GAGGCUUUGACCUCUGGGUCCCAAAGGAGUUGGGACUUACAAGGCUGUCAGGCGAUGAGGUUGGAUUGUAGGCAUUCUUCAUUGGCCCUCAGAACAUCCCUGAGACUCGUCAUUGCUUCUACUGUUCUAGGGAGGAUAAUCUGGAGGUACACAUUGACUGGGAACCUGCCCAAAUAUUACACAAAUCUAACCGAGAAUCAAAUCCAAAUCUUUGGACAUAUGUGAAAAACAGAAAGAGAAGACAAAUGGAGUGCAUGUGUCUGCAUCAGCGAACUACAUUAUUUCUCAGGUGAAGACUGCUGAAGACAACCUGGUAGACUCGAGAUAAAAAAGAUUAUUGCAGAAAAAGAAGGAUACACAAGUGGUAAAAGAUACACUUUAACAAGGUCCUGAAAGUCGGCAACAUAGGAAGAA
Molecule: long non-coding RNA, 414 nt
Organism: Lynx canadensis (Canada lynx)
Lineage: Eukaryota; Metazoa; Chordata; Mammalia; Carnivora; Felidae
Exons: 3
Source: RefSeq, a predicted model, not a curated record